GUGUCAGCCGCCGCGGUAAUACGUAGGGUGCGAGCGUUGUUCGGAAUUACUGGGUGUAAAGGGUCCGCAGGCGGGCAAGCAAGUCGGUGGUGAAAGUUCAUGGCUCAACUGUGAAAUUGCCUUCGAUACUGCUUGUCUUGAGUUCGAGAGAGGAUGAUGGAAUUCAUGGUGUAGCAGUGAAAUGCGUAGAGAUCAUGAAGAACACCAGUUGCGAAGGCGGUCAUCUGGCUCGAUACUGACGCUCAGGGACGAAAGCGUGGGUAGCAAACAGGAUUAGAAACCCGAGUAGUCC
This 292-nucleotide ribosomal RNA is filed under the name uncultured bacterium. RNAcentral's name for it is "partial 16S ribosomal RNA". It matches the Rfam family "Bacterial small subunit ribosomal RNA", at positions 505 to 796 of the family's 1533-position model. The record is from RNAcentral.